Molecule: ribosomal RNA, 324 nt
Filed under: uncultured eukaryote
Lineage: Eukaryota
Description: partial 18S ribosomal RNA
Rfam family: Eukaryotic small subunit ribosomal RNA
Source: RNAcentral
CCCUUAGAUGUUCUGGGCUGCACGCGCGCUACACUGAAGCUAUCAACACGUUUUCCCUCCCUGAGAAGGGCGGGUAACCUUUUGAAUCAGCUUCGUGGUAGGGAUCGGGGCUUGCAAUUUUUCCCCGUGAACCAGGAAUUCCUAGUAGACGCGAGUCAUAAGCUCGCAUCGAUUAAGUCCCUGCCCUUUGUACACACCGCCCGUCGCUACUACCGAUUGAACGUUUUAGUGAGGCAUUUGGACCGACGCAUCUCAGUUUAACCGCUGGUUUGUGUUGGAAAGACUUCCAAACUUGAGCGUUUAGAGGAAGUAAAAGUCGUAACA